UAGCUAGUUGGUGGGGUAAAGGCCUACCAAGGCGAUGAUUGGUAGCUGGUCUGAGAGGACGGACAGCCACACUGGGACUGAGACACGGCCCAGACUCCUACGGGAGGCAGCAGUGGGGAAUAUUGGACAAUGGGGGCAACCCUGGUCCAGCGAUGCCGCGUGUGUGAAGAAGGCCUGAGGGUUGUAAAGCACUUUCAGUGGGGAGGAGGACUGACUGGUUAAGAGCUGGUAUAGUUGGACGUUACCCACAGAAGAAGCACCGGCUAACUCCGUGCCAGCAGCCGCGGUAAUACGGAGGGCGCGAGCGUUAAUCGGAAUUACUGGGCGUAAAGGGUGCGUAGGUGGAUGAUUAAGUUAUCUGUGAAAGACCUGAGCUUAACUUAGGGGUGUCAGAUAAGACUGGUUGUCUAGAGUAUGAGAGAGGGUAGUGGAAUUUCCGGUGUAGCGGUGAAAUGCGUAGAGAUCGGGAGGAACACCGGUGGCGGAGGCGGCUACCUGGCUUAAUACUGACACUGAGGCACGAAAGCAUGGGGAGCAAACAGGAUUAGAUACCCUGGUAGUCCAUGCUGUAAACGAUGUCGACUAGCCGUUGGCCCAUUAAAGGGUUAGUGGCGC
Molecule: ribosomal RNA, 615 nt
Filed under: uncultured Legionella sp.
Lineage: Bacteria; Pseudomonadati; Pseudomonadota; Gammaproteobacteria; Legionellales; Legionellaceae
Description: bacterial SSU rRNA
Rfam family: Bacterial small subunit ribosomal RNA
Source: RNAcentral